UUCAAACUUAUCAGUAUAGCGGGGCACCGAGCGUGUGCAGUCUAAUUUUUUUGUAAACGAAAAUCAGAAGACUGCAACUAUUUAUUUUGCACAUUAUCUCCAAAAUGCAGAUAUUUAUAAUAUGGUCUAUGAUUUUUUGGAGUCUUUCCAUCACUAACAAACAAAUGCAGGCUUGCGCUUCGAACGCCACCGAUUAUUCCAAUAGAACCAUCACUAAAGAGGAAGUAAAAUCGGCCUUGGCGACAUUCACGACCGAUUCCGCUAUAAUGAAACUGGUUGAUGACGACUGUGCAAUGUGCUCAUUGUUUAAGUGUCUGCUGGAUCAAGCCGCGACCUGCACAGAUUUUCUUGCUCAAACAUUUAAAAGCAUCAUCCCACUUGUGCUGAGCAAUAAUUGCGAAUUUUGUGCUCCAAGAGAAAAGGCAAUUGUGGACAUCGUCAAGAGUUACAUGCACCAGCGAUUUCCCAAAGAAUUUGCAAGAAUAUUGAAACUCUACGUACCAUAAAAUUGUAAGCCCCUCUCCUCAUUUGCCAAAUUCCACACUCCACAGUAAAUUGGAACGAGAUUUAUUUUUGUACAAAAAAAAUAAAAAUCUGAAUUAAUAUUAAAAUAUGAGUU
Long non-coding RNA from Neocloeon triangulifer, 619 nucleotides. RefSeq lists it as uncharacterized. NCBI's taxonomy places the organism in Eukaryota, Metazoa, Arthropoda, Insecta, Ephemeroptera, Baetidae. The record is from RefSeq and is a predicted model, not a curated record. The transcript has 3 exons.